RNAcentral lists this long non-coding RNA (6589 nucleotides) under Prunus persica (peach). RNAcentral describes it as "long non-coding RNA (PPER_LNC000400)". The record is from RNAcentral. Lineage: Eukaryota; Viridiplantae; Streptophyta; Magnoliopsida; Rosales; Rosaceae.
CAAAUUGAGACUAGCAAGAUUUUUUUAAUUUUUUAUUAUAAACAUAAUCCAAAGACGAAAGGGGAAAAGGGAAAAGUCAGAAAAUGAUUCCUUCAUCAGUCAACCAAACAUACUCAGAGGAGCGAUUAACAUACACAACUGAAAAUCCAGUACCCAAUAAACCAAAAACACCAACAGAUCACUCAAAUACACAGUUAGGCACAUGAACCCAUAUCAUAUAAUGAAGAAACAAAUGCAAAAUGCUGAAACAAAUGAAGAAAGAUAGAUUUUUGAGUGGCGGGUGGGAGGAAAAGUACCAAAAAUGUCAGAGGCGAGAAGAAUAGCAAGCUUGGAGUCAGGGGAGCCAGUGACAUAGGUGUCCAGACCACCGAACUUCUCAACAUGGCCGGAGCCGCCGGAUGGGUCCAGUGUUGGUGGGUUCGAGCAGCACUGAGGGCCUGACAUUUGUUUGUUUUUCUCUGAACCACAAAAAUGCACAAACACACUCUCUGCCUCUCUAUUCGAAUGAGCGAGAAGGUUACGGAUGAAGGCAAAGGUUAAACUACCACAAAAAAGAAAAAUAAAAAAAGGUGUGCACGUUCAACUAUAUGACAACGACUAGUCAAAGUUCUGGAAUUUAAGAAGCCAGGUGAAAAUUUAUGGAGGAGUUGAAAAGGUGUAACUCCAAUGAUUCGUAUCCACCUCCAACAAUAGCAAAUAUUUUUCUCACCACUUUAAUCCUAUUUUUUAUUUGGAUAAGAAAAAAUAAUUCAGAAUUUAGUUAUAAUUUAAAAUUUAAAAUUAAGAAAUUGACAAUUCCCUUAUUUGACAAUUUAAGUGCAUACUUUAUUAAAUGAUGCAUACAAAAAAUCGUGGAAAUUAGAGCAUCAAAUUUCCUAAUUUAAUUUCCACUAAAAUAAAUGUCAUUUCACAGUUUUCAUAGUGCCAUUUACAAAAAUUUGUCACGUACAGUGUAGAGACAGUGUUUGUAUGGAAAAAAAAAACACAUUUAUAGUGUUUUUAUAUAUAUUUUAACUUUACCCAUUUUAAUAACACUAUCUACAAGUUUUAAUAUUUGCAAGGGUUUAUAGCUCAAAUAGUAAGCAUUUCUCUCUACACCUAGGGCUCGUUUGGUACACAGGACUGUCUUGGCAUGGACUAUGUUUAGGGACUGGUUUGGCUUGGCUUGGCUUGGUCUAAGUUGGAUAACACUUAUCCUGCGUUUGGUGUAUGCUUGGACUAGGACUAGAAUUUUUUUUAUUUUUUUAAAAAUAUCUAUAUAUAUGUAUAUAUGUAUUUUAUAAUAUAUAUAUAUAUAUAUAUGUAUAUAUAUACAUAUAUACAUACAUAUAAUAUAUAUAUGUAUAUAUACAUGUAUAUAAGUAUAUUAUAAUAAUAUUAUAUAUUUUAAAUAAUAUAAACGUACAUACAUAUAUAUAAGUGUAUAUAGGUGUAUAUAUGUAUAUUAUAAUAUACAUGGGUAUAAUACAUAUACAUAUAUUUAUAUAUAUGUAUGUAUAAUAUAAUAUAUAAUAUAUAUAUGGGUAUGUUAUAAUAAUAAUAGGGAUAUACAUGUAUAUACGUGUAUAUAUGUAUAUUAUAUAUGUAUUUAUAUAUACAUAUACAUUAUAUAUAUUAUAAAAUACAUAUGUAUAUAUAAUAUAUGUAUAUAUAUUAUAUAUUAUAAUAUACAUAUAUAUAUACGUAUAUACAUGUAUAUAAUAUAUGUGUAUAUAGGUGUAUCUAUAUAUUAUAAUAUAUACAUGGGUAUAAUACAUAUACAUAUAUAUGUAUAUUAUAAUAGAUAAUAUAUAUGGGUAUGUUAUAAUAAUAAUAUACAUGUAUAUAUGUAUAUUAUAAUAUAUAUACAUAUAGUAUAAAUAUAUAAUGUAUAUGUGUAUAUACGUGUGUAUAUGUAUAUUAUAAUACAUACAUGGGUAUAAUAUAUAUACACAUAUAUGUAUAUAUACUUAUAUAUAUUACAUAUAUACAUGUAUGCUAUUAUUAUAAUAUUAAUAUGUAUGUGUAUAUGAGUAUAUUAUAAUAAUAAUAUACGUGUAUAUAUCUAUAUGUAUUUAUAUAUUAUAUAUGUAUAUAUGUGUUUAUAUAUAUAUGUAUAUACGUGUAUAUAUGUACAUUAAUAUAUAAUAUAAUAUAUAUUACAUAUAUACAUGUAUACAUGUAUGUAUUAUUAUAAUAUUAAUAUGUAUGUGUAUAUGAGUAUAUUAUAAUAAUAAUAUAUGUGUAUAUAUCUAUAUGUAUAUAUAUAUAUAUAUAUUAUAUAUGUAUAUAUGUAUUUAUAUAUAUACAUGUGUAUGUGUAUAUACAUGUAUAUAUGUACAUUAUAGUAUAUUUGUAUGUAAUAAUAAUAAUAAUAAUAAUAUAUGUUAUUAGUAUUACAAUAUAAUAUAUGCAUCUUAUAUAUUGGUGAACAUAGGACUAGCUAAUCCUCCCUUUCUACAUGGGUUUAGUAGUCCCCUCCUAGUGAGGUAUUUUUGGUGGGCCCGGUAUUAGCAGUCUCAUCUAAGACUAGAAUUAAAUGAAACAAACAUGGUACUAAAUUUAGUCCAAUCCAGUCCAAGCCAAGCCUGUGUACCAAACGACCCCCUAAGGUCUUAGGUUCAAUUCUCCCUUCUCCUUAAUAUCGCUUGUAUAAAAAUAAUAAAAAACACUCAAGUCACCACUCUAUUGACGGAAGUCCUAACUUGACAAUUCCGUAACACCAAAGUUGGUGAGUUUCUAUAGUGUUGAAUGUAUCGGCCUUCCUAUCCCUUCCACACCAAAAAACGAAAAUGAUUGAACUAGAUUUCAAAGAGUGGAACAAGUUUCCUUUUUUUAUUCAAGUGCAUCAAUUUAUUGCAAAGGACUUAAUAGCUUAGUUGGCUAAGAGCAUUCACCUUGCACUCGAAGUGUUGAGCUCAAAUUCCUCCUUCCACAGUAUUAUUUGUUUCUUAAAAAAGAUGGCGCAUCAAUUAUUAUAAAAUUAUGAUGUCUAUAUAACUCUCAUUUUUGGCAAUGCAUAAGACAUUUCCAGUGGUAGAUGGAUGCUGAGAAAUGCAAAGGAUCAGGAUAUGCAGUCGGAGUUUUUUUCUAGCUACAGAGAAGCCCAAGCCACAACCAAGAAGUUCUUUAAAUACUAUAUCGUAACAUAAAAGUCCAGGUGUGGUUCAAGAAACACUACAGUGAUGAUCUGAUUCCCCUGACAUGGUUCAAGAACCACUCCAACAAGUUUUGAUGAGCCUCCUCAGCACACUUAACAGCUGCUUCGUCUUCAACAUUGUACCUCACGGUCCAACCGUGUGCCACUUUCGGAAAUAUCUUCACAUGGCUUUUAACCUGUAUACACAAAAUAAAACCAACAGUCGUUUCAACAAAUUUGAAAUGUUUCUCACUACCAGCUAGCUACCACGGUGGUGCCUCUUUCCCCAUCAAGGUCUUGAGAGUCUAUGAACCCUAAUUUGAAUGGGGUGUUUUUGGUAUCUUCCUAUCGUUUCUUAAAGAAUAAAGAACAAAAGUAAAAUGUUUUGAAGUUCAAACAAAAUGGUAUCUGAUCUUGUAAGGAAAAGUUCUACCUAUAACUAUAAGCCAUGGCAUAAUUAGAUGCCAUAAUUUAUAAGAAAAACAAGGGCACCAGUAAUGAAGAUUGUUUGGAUCAAAGAUAUUCCUACCUCAGACUUCGCAGUUAAAACCUCUUCAAAUUGCUUCACGACUUCAGGUGGAGACAUAUGGUCAAUCUCAGCUCCAAGUAUAGAAAUAGGAACCUUAACAGCUGAAAAAAGUAGUUCCAGGAAUAGAUCAUUAAACUGUGACUGAUUUUUACCUUGUUUUAUUUAUUUAUAAUCUUUCUCAAAUAUCUAAACACUUGAAAACAAUAAUUAGAGUGAGAGAAGAAUAUAUACACACACACACACACACACACAUGGAGCUUCAGUUGAGAGAUCCCUGAAAUAAGCUUAUUUGAGAGACACCCUUGUAGGGCCCACUCCGUAUUGUAUUUCACUAAUCCAAACCGUCUAUUUUGUAGAUACUCAUUCAAAGAUCAUCUUUACAAAAAAUCACUUGAAUCCGAUAUCAUUUGAUCACUCAAUUUAAUUAUUGAAAUUUAGUACUUUCUUGAAGCGCCGUAUUAAUUGAUUUUGUAGGACACAAUUGGAUAUUGAAACGGUUUCCGAUUUGUCUAAUUUUUUAUAAGGAUGAUCUAUGAAUGUAGACUUAAAAAAUAGAUAGUUUCGAUCGUUGAAAAAAUAUUUGUAGGGAACCCUAAAGGGUGUUAUUUGAGGGAUCCCUCAAUAGAAGAGGACUGAUAUAUAUAUAUAUAUAUAUAUAUAUAUUUCUUUUCAAACUUUGCUGGUAGGCAUAGAGGGAACAGGGUGUGGGCACAAAUAGAAAGCACCCUAAUUGUGAUACUUGUUUAAAAUGAUAAUUAUACUAACUAGGUAGGCAUUUUCUGGAUAUUACAUACAGAAAUCUUACCCUUGAUAUCAUCCACAAUGACAAAUGAAGGAUGACAGAGAACAGCAGCUUGGAUAAAGUCGUGCUUUGCAAGUUCAACCACAACCUUACCUGAGAACAGGACAGAAAUCUAUGUCAACAGAACAAUAUUUUCCAUAUGGGUUAAACUAAUGAAAUGAGGGUGUGAUAAGUAAAAAGACUGCAUAAAUGUUAGCAUAAAAAAAAAAAAAUCUAAAUAGGAGACAUUUUUGUUUAAUGCAAGGCAAAAUGAAACAUAGUGACGAAGAUGUUAAUGAGAAGGGAAAAUUAACGCACCUCCCCAACAGAAGCCUGCAGCACCGACUGCAGAAAAACCUUUCCUUCUUAAAGCUCCAAGAACUGGUUUUGCAUCUUCAAAUCCGUUGGCCUAUCAACAAAAAUAGAUUCAGACGCUAAUUUUUUUUACAAUACUUGUAUAAUCCAAUAUUGAUAGCAACGUUUGUAACACCACAUUAUCAGGGAUACAUAUUUAACAUUGCGCAAAAUGUCCCAGCAGUGACAACUAUAAAAAGUUUAACAUAACAACAGUUAUUGGACUGCCAAACUUUCUUAUGACUGCCAAGCUGAAUCCAUAAACAUAAGAAUCUGAAAUUUUUAUGCAAACUCAAUGAUACUUGUAAAAGUACUUGGGUUAUAAAACAGAACAAAAUAGAUAAACAUAAAAGUAAAAGUAACAGCAAAAGAACGGACCGGUCCAUGAUCUUUUAUCCAAACAGGUAGAGGUCUAUUGGCAUCUUCAGGUGCAUAAGGGUCUCCGUACAAGAAGUCAGGGACAACAACAAAGAACCCAGCAGCUGCAACUUUGUCAGCAAGCUUCCUUCAAAAUGGAAGGCAGGUUGCAUUAGUUCAAGAGUGUAGAAGAUUAUGGAAUCAAGGAAAUGCAAUUCUACACACAUUUGUUCUUCAAAGAAAAUCUCUGUGUCAGUAACUGGGAGGAUAAAUUUUCAUCCUCAUAUAUAUUACAGAGUGAACACUCUAAAUAAAGGUAGGGAUCUUCAAAGCAUCAGAAAAUCUCAAAAAGGCAGGGAAUUCGACCGUUGUUAUAUCUGAUAGACAACUUGAAACUAAGGAGGGAAUUCGACUGUUGUUAUAUCUGAUAGACAACCUGAAACUAAUGGUUUUGUAACUAUUUUUCAAGAUUUAGUUACAUAUAGACCUAUUAUAACCUUUUUUUAACCCUCAAUGACUGUACUCUUCAAGCAAAUUAUUCCAAAGUGCACACCAAGUCAUCAAAUUUAAUCAACAAGAGUAACUGCUGGCCAGGAGUCGAUAUUAGAGAAGGGACUGUUUGAACUAUAUGCACUAACAAUGAAUACGCUGUAAACAAUGUGAAACAGAUAUGAGAAUAAGUCAUACCUCAAGUUUGGAGCUUCAAAUCCUGCAUGACAAAGCAACAUGUAAUAUUAAAAGUAGUGUGGUGAUAUAACAUCACAGCAAACAAUUAUAUAAGAUGAUUUGAAUAAUCAGAUACAAAUGAAUAAUCGUAUUUUAAAAAGAACAUUCUUUCUCAAUUGACAGAGAAAAUAAAAAAAAGAUAAGUAUCCCACUAAAAGUACACACGAAGGCGAAAAUAAAGUUUUGAUAUCAUAAAAGUAUUUUCAUAACCAAAUUGAACAUAAUUGAAGCUAGAUUAUCAAACAUCAUGAAGGACGCAGAUAACCCACAAAGGGAAAGGGGAAACGAAAAUGACAUAAACUGAUUCCUCCAACCUUCAGCAGUAAACCAAACAAAAUCAGAGCAUCCAUUAACAUGCACAGCCUAAAAAUCAGUGCCCAUUGAACCAACAACCCAUCAAAUGCACAAUAAGGCAAGAACAACAAAACCCAUAUCACACAAUGAAGUAAAAAUGCAAACUAUUAAACCAAACGGAAAGAAAAAAAGAGACGGGUUUUUGAAGUGGUGGGCAAGUACCAAAAAUGUCAGAGACGAGAAGAAUAGCAAGCUUGGAGUCAGGGGAGCCAGUGACAUAGGAGUCGAGACCACCAAGCUUUUCAACAUGGCCGGAGCCACUUGAUGGGUUGAUGGUUGGAGGGUUUGAGCAGCACUGAGGGCCUGACAUCCUUUCUUCUUCUCUGAUCACAAAAUGCACAAACACACACCACUGCGCAUCAAAGGCGUG